GAUGAACGCUGGCGGCGUGCUUAACACAUGCAAGUCGAACGGAAAGGCCCCUUUGGGGGUCCUCGAGUGGCGAACGGGUGAGUAACACGUGAGUAACCUGCCCUUGACUUCGGGAUAACUUCAGGAAACUGGGGCUAAUACCGGAUAGGAAUCCUUGCUGCAUGGUGGGGGUUGGAAAGCUUCGGCGGUUUUGGAUGGACUCGCGGCUUAUCAGCUUGUUGGUGGGGUAGUGGCUUACCAAGGCUUUGACGGGUAGCCGGCCUGAGAGGGCGACCGGCCACAUUGGGACUGAGAUACGGCCCCGACUCCUACGGGAGGCAGCAGUGGGGAAUAUUGCACAAUGGGCGGAAGCCUGAUGCAGCAACGCCGCGUGCGGGAUGACGGCCUUCUGGUUGUAAACCGCUUUCAGCAGGGGCGAAGCUUGUGGUGACGGUACCUGCAGAAGAAGCACCGGCUAACUACGUG
This 465-nucleotide ribosomal RNA is filed under the name uncultured bacterium. RNAcentral's name for it is "partial 16S ribosomal RNA". It matches the Rfam family "Bacterial small subunit ribosomal RNA", at positions 28 to 507 of the family's 1533-position model. The record is from RNAcentral.